Long non-coding RNA from Pelobates fuscus (common spadefoot toad), 401 nucleotides. RefSeq lists it as uncharacterized. The transcript has 3 exons. The record is from RefSeq and is a predicted model, not a curated record. NCBI's taxonomy places the organism in Eukaryota, Metazoa, Chordata, Amphibia, Anura, Pelobatidae.
CAGAAACAUCAAACGAGCAUAAAGCUAGUAUCUGCACCUAAAUUGAGGAUUUCCUUCCAAUCUGGAUUUCAAGUGAUACAAUAAACCAGUGCAUAAAAGCGGUUUAAUCCCUAAAGUAUGUCUGCAGAUAAGAGUUCCAUUUUUUCCCCAAAUCCCUUUGCUUGUCCAGAUUUUGAGGAUUUAUUUACCUAUUGGAGCAAACACCUAACAGAGAAACAAGAGAGUAAACUCUUAAACAAGGGGCGUAAGGUUCACGAGAAGACAACCGCUGCUUCCAGAAUAAGAUCCCUCUCGUCUUCUCACAAAAAAUCACUUUUGGAACUUAAUAAAUUCACCACCAGAGCAGGAGAGACAACACCAGCAUCUGUCAAAUACAACCCAAAAAGUAUACCGGCUGCUAC